GGAUGUGAGAGCAAUCUGGCUGUGACAUAUGUCACCCCAUUGAUUGCCAGGGUUGAUUUGGCUGAUUUGGCUGGCUAGGCCAGUGUCCCCUUCCUCCUCCCUCCACUCCAGGCAUAUCCCUCCUGAAGCUGUGUGCUUGGUUGAAGAGGACAACCAUCUCUGAUAGAGGAGGGCCAUUCUUCUGUCAAGGGUAUACAAGUAACUGCACUCCUGUGCAAGAACCUCCAAACAAGCUCACAAGAUGUCUCCUGCUGAUAACUUCAUCAACACAACUGCUAUAAAGAAUAAAAACACUUUAUCUGAUGGUGUUUAAAAUC
Molecule: unclassified non-coding RNA, 317 nt
Gene: 7SK
Rfam family: 7SK RNA
About the family: 7SK was discovered as an abundant small nuclear RNA in the mid-70s but a possible function has only recently been suggested. Two independent studies have found that 7SK RNA binds the CDK9/cyclin T complex (known as elongation factor P-TEFb). P-TEFb activates transcription by phosphorylating the C-terminal domain of RNA polymerase II.
Source: Ensembl